GACGAACGCUGGCGGCGUGCCUAAUACAUGCAAGUAGAACGCUGACUACUUUAGCUUGCUAGAGUAGAAGGAGUUGCGAACGGGUGAGUAACGCGUAGGUAACCUGCCUACUAGCGGGGGAUAACUAUUGGAAACGAUAGCUAAUACCGCAUAACAGUGUUUAACACAUGUUAGAUGCUUGAAAGAUGCAAUUGCAUCACUAGUAGAUGGACCUGCGUUGUAUUAGCUAGUUGGUGGGGUAACGGCCCACCAAGGCGACGAUACAUAGCCGACCUGAGAGGGUGAUCGGCCACACUGGGACUGAGACACGGCCCAGACUCCUACGGGAGGCAGCAGUAGGGAAUCUUCGGCAAUGGGGGCAACCCUGACCGAGCAACGCCGCGUGAGUGAAGAAGGUUUUCGGAUCGUAAAGCUCUGUUGUGAGAGAAGAACGUGUGUGAGAGUGGAAAGUUCACACAGUGACGGUAACUUACCAGAAGGGGACGGCCAACUACGUGCCAGCCGCCGCGGUAA
RNAcentral lists this ribosomal RNA (513 nucleotides) under uncultured bacterium. RNAcentral describes it as "partial 16S ribosomal RNA". It matches the Rfam family "Bacterial small subunit ribosomal RNA", at positions 28 to 523 of the family's 1533-position model. The record is from RNAcentral.